Molecule: ribosomal RNA, 513 nt
Filed under: uncultured bacterium
Lineage: Bacteria
Description: bacterial SSU rRNA
Rfam family: Bacterial small subunit ribosomal RNA
Source: RNAcentral
UGCUAGACGAGUUUGAUCCUGGCUCAGAACGAACGCUGGCGGCGCGCCUAACACAUGCAAGUCGAACGAGAAUCCGGGGGCAACCCGGUAGUAAAGUGGCAAACGGGUGAGGAAUACAUGGGUAACCUACCCUUGAGAAGGGAAUAACCCGCCGAAAGGUGAGCUAAUACCCUAUACGCUAUCUUUUUUUCGAAAAGGAUAGGAAAGCCGGGUCGAGGACCUGGUACUCAAGGAGGGGCUCAUGUCCUAUCAGCUUGUUGGUGGGGUAACGGCCUACCAAGGCUACGACGGGUAGCUGGUCUGAGAGGAUGAUCAGCCACACUGGCACUGAGAUACGGGCCAGACUCCUACGGGAGGCAGCAGUGAGGAAUAUUGCGCAAUGGGCGAAAGCCUGACGCAGCGACGCCGCGUGGGGGAUGAAGGUUUUCGGAUUGUAAACCCCUUUCAUGAGGAAAGAUAAAGUGGGUAACCACUUAGACGGUACCUCAAGAAGAAGCCACGGCUAACUUCGUG